RNAcentral lists this ribosomal RNA (414 nucleotides) under uncultured bacterium. Its description in RNAcentral is "bacterial SSU rRNA". It matches the Rfam family "Bacterial small subunit ribosomal RNA", at positions 355 to 786 of the family's 1533-position model. The record is from RNAcentral.
UGGGGAAUUUUGGACAAUGGGGGAAACCCUGAUCCAGCCAUCCCGCGUGUGCGAUGAAGGCCUUAGGGUUGUAAAGCUCUUUCACCGGUGAAGAUAAUGACGGUAGCCGGAGAAGAAGCCCCGGCUAACUUCGUGCCAGCAGCCGCGGUAAUACGAAGGGGGCUAGCGUUGUUCGGAAUUACUGGGCGUAAAGCGCACGUAGGCGGACUGGUCAGUUAGGGGUGAAAUCCCAGGGCUUAACCCUGGAACUGCCUUUAAUACUGCCGGUCUGGAGUUCGAGAGAGGUGAGUGGAAUUCCGAGUGUAGAGGUGAAAUUCGUAGAUAUUCGGAGGAACACCAGUGGCGAAGGCGGCUCACUGGCUCGAUACUGACGCUGAGGUGCGAAAGCGUGGGGAGCAAACAGGAUUAGAUACC